This 75-nucleotide transfer RNA is filed under the name Candidatus Fokinia solitaria. RNAcentral describes it as "tRNA-Glu". It matches the Rfam family "tRNA". From Rfam's summary of the family: Transfer RNA (tRNA) molecules are approximately 80 nucleotides in length. Their secondary structure includes four short double-helical elements and three loops (D, anti-codon, and T loops). Further hydrogen bonds mediate the characteristic L-shaped molecular structure. tRNAs have two regions of fundamental functional importance: the anti-codon, which is responsible for specific mRNA codon recognition, and the 3' end, to which the tRNAs corresponding amino acid is attached (by aminoacyl-tRNA synthetases). tRNAs cope with the degeneracy of the genetic code in two manners: having more than one tRNA (with a specific anti-codon) for a particular amino acid; and 'wobble' base-pairing, i.e. permitting non-standard base-pairing at the 3rd anti-codon position. Lineage: Bacteria; Pseudomonadati; Pseudomonadota; Alphaproteobacteria; Rickettsiales; Candidatus Midichloriaceae. The record is from RNAcentral. RNAcentral also lists the same sequence under 1 other name.
GACCCCUUCGUCUAGCGGUUAGGACACCACCCUUUCACGGUGGUAACGCGGGUUCGAUUCCCGCAGGGGUCACCA